UACAAGGUGUCGAAAGCGCUCCACAGGGAUGCUGGCCCACGUUGACUCCGAUGCUUCCCAUGGUUGUGUCAAGUUAGCUGGAUGUCAUUUGGGUGGUGGACCAUUCUUGAUACACACGGGAAACUGUAGAGCGUGAAAAAACCAGCAGCUUUGUAGUUCUUGACACAAACCGGUGCACCUGGCACCUAUUACCCCGUUCAAAGGACUUAAUAAAUAUUUUGCCUUACCGAUUUAACCUUUGAAUGGCACAUACACAAUCCAUGUCUCAAUUAUCUCAAGGCUUACAUUUUUUAAAAUCUUAAUCUCCUCCACUCCAUCUAUACUGAUUUGAAGUUGAUUUAACAAGUGACAAUCAUAGCUUUUUGCCUGGUCAGUCUGUGAUAGGAGGAGAUCAUUCAGAUCCAUACAUCUUCUCAUCUUUUACAUGUCCUCAAAUCCAGCUGACUUGUACUGUGGACAGACGUUUUUAUAUUUAUAAGGUAAAUGUAUGUUUUUAAUAGAACUGCAGAAGUUUGAAUGUAAUUACAAUAAAAUGAAUGACAAUAUAGCAUUGUGUUGUUCUCUGUCCAUCAUGUCAAUAGGGAAACAAUGGCAACAGACACGGUGUUGGUGUUAGACUCCAGAUAGGUGUUGCAGACUCCAGAUAGGCGUUGCAGACUCGACUCCAGAUAGGCGUUGCAGACUCGACUCCAGAUAGGCGUUGCAGACUCGACUCCAGAUAGGCGUUGCAGACUCGACUCCAGAUAGGCGUUGCAGACUCGACUCCAGAUAGGCGUUGCAGACUCGACUCCAGAUAGGCGUUGCAGACUCGACUCCAGAUAGGCGUUGCAGACUCGACUCCAGAUAGGCGUUGCAGACUCGACUCCAGAUAGGCGUUGCAGACUCGACUCCAGAUAGGCGUUGCAGACUCGACUCCAGAUAGGCGUUGCAGA
Molecule: long non-coding RNA, 932 nt
Organism: Oncorhynchus tshawytscha (Chinook salmon)
Lineage: Eukaryota; Metazoa; Chordata; Actinopteri; Salmoniformes; Salmonidae
Exons: 2
Source: RefSeq, a predicted model, not a curated record